UACGUAGGGACCAAGCGUUGUCCGGAAUCAUUGGGCGUAAAGAGCGUGUAGGCGGCUUGUUAAGUCUUGCGUGAAAUCUCGGGGCUCAACCCCGAGCGGUCGUGAGAAACUGGGCAGGCUAGAGUGCGGGAGAGGAGAGUGGAAUUCCUGGUGUAGCGGUGAAAUGCGCAGAUAUCAGGAAGAACACCCGUGGCGAAGGCGGCUCUCUGGAACGCAACUGACGCUGAGACGCGAAAGCGUGGGGAGCAAACAGG
This 254-nucleotide ribosomal RNA is filed under the name uncultured bacterium. RNAcentral describes it as "partial 16S ribosomal RNA". It matches the Rfam family "Bacterial small subunit ribosomal RNA", at positions 524 to 776 of the family's 1533-position model. The record is from RNAcentral.